UCCCUGGUGGCCCAGUGGUUAGGACUCCAUGCUUUCACUGCUGAGGGCCCAGGUUCAAUCCCUGGCUGGGGAA
Molecule: transfer RNA, 73 nt
Filed under: Ovis aries (sheep)
Lineage: Eukaryota; Metazoa; Chordata; Mammalia; Artiodactyla; Bovidae
Rfam family: tRNA
About the family: Transfer RNA (tRNA) molecules are approximately 80 nucleotides in length.
Source: Rfam by way of RNAcentral